RNAcentral lists this ribosomal RNA (556 nucleotides) under Toxoplasma gondii ME49. Its description in RNAcentral is "Toxoplasma gondii rRNA TGME49_458870". The record is from RNAcentral. Lineage: Eukaryota; Apicomplexa; Conoidasida; Eucoccidiorida; Sarcocystidae.
UACCGCGGCUGCUGGCACCAGACUUGCCCUCCAAUUGUUACUCUGAAAGGGGUUUGGAUUCCUAUCAUUCCAAUCACUAGAAAUGAAAUUUCCAGUGUUGUUAUUUCUUGUCACUACCUCCCUGAAUCAGGAUUGGGUAAUUUGCGCGCCUGCUGCCUUCCUUAGAUGUGGUAGCCGUUUCUCAGGCUCCCUCUCCGGAAUCGAACCCUAAUUCCCCGUUACCCGUCACUGCCACGGUAGUCCAAUACAGUACCGUCGAAAGCUGAUAGGUCAGAAACUUGAAUGAUCCGUCGCAGACCGAAGUCAACGCGAUCCGUUCGGUUACUAUGAAUCACCUGAGGACCACCGGAAGGUGGGUUGGUUCUGUAUCUAAUAAACACUGCCCUUCCAGGGGAAGAGGCAUGUGCGCAUGUAUUAGCCAUAGAAUUACCACGGUUAUCCAUGUAGUAAAGACCAUCAAAUAAACUAUAACUGUUUUAAUGAGCCAUUCGCAGUUUAGCCGUAUAAAAGCUUAUACUUAGACAUGCAUGGCUUAAUCUUUAAGACAAGCAUAUGA